This 477-nucleotide ribosomal RNA is filed under the name uncultured organism. Its description in RNAcentral is "partial 16S ribosomal RNA". It matches the Rfam family "Bacterial small subunit ribosomal RNA", at positions 331 to 799 of the family's 1533-position model. The record is from RNAcentral.
GUACACUCCUACGGGAGGCAGCAGUGGGGAAUUUUGGACAAUGGGGGCAACCCUGAUCCAGCAAUGCCGCGUGAGUGAAGAAGGCCUUCGGGUUGUAAAGCUCUUUUGUCAGGGAAGAAACGGCGGUGGCGAAUAACUACUACUAAUGACGGUACCUGAAGAAUAAGCACCGGCUAACUACGUGCCAGCAGCCGCGGUAAUACGUAGGGUGCAAGCGUUAAUCGGAAUUACUGGGCGUAAAGCGUGCGCAGGCGGUUGUGUAAGUCAGAUGUGAAAUCCCCGGGCUCAACCUGGGAAUUGCAUUUGAGACUGCACGGCUAGAGUGUGUCAGAGGGGGGUAGAAUUCCACGUGUAGCAGUGAAAUGCGUAGAUAUGUGGAGGAAUACCGAUGGCGAAGGCAGCCCCCUGGGAUAACACUGACGCUCAUGCACGAAAGCGUGGGGAGCAAACAGGAUUAGAUACCCCGGUAGUCCCAUG